Molecule: ribosomal RNA, 460 nt
Filed under: uncultured bacterium
Lineage: Bacteria
Description: partial 16S ribosomal RNA
Rfam family: Bacterial small subunit ribosomal RNA
Source: RNAcentral
CCUACGGGAGGCAGCAGUGAGGAAUAUUGGUCAAUGGGCGUAAGCCUGAACCAGCCAAGUCGCGUGAGGGAUGACGGUUCUAUGGAUCGUAAACCUCUUUUAUAAGGGAAUAAAGUGUGGGACGUGUCCUGUUUUGUAUGUACCUUAUGCAUAAGGAUCGGCUAACUCCGUGCCAGCAGCCGCGGUAAUACGGAGGAUCCGAGCGUUAUCCGGAUUUAUUGGGUUUAAAGGGUGCGUCGGCGGCCUUUUAAGUCAGCGGUGAAAGUCUGUGGCUCAACCAUAGAAGUGCCGUUGAAACUGGGAGGCUUGAGUAUGUUUGAGGCAGGCGGAAUGCGUGGUGUAGCGGUGAAAUGCUUAGAUAUCACGCAGAACCCCGAUUGCGAAGGCAGCCUGCCAAGCCAUGACUGACGCUGAUGCACGAAAGCGUGGGGAUCAAACAGGAUUAGAUACCCCAGUAGUC